This 229-nucleotide ribosomal RNA is filed under the name uncultured bacterium. RNAcentral's name for it is "partial 16S ribosomal RNA". It matches the Rfam family "Bacterial small subunit ribosomal RNA", at positions 568 to 796 of the family's 1533-position model. The record is from RNAcentral.
UCCGUAGGCGGGCGAUUAAGUCAGAGGUGAAAUCCCACAGCUCAACUGUGGAACUGCCUUUGAUACUGGUUGUCUUGAGUUAUAGUGAAGUAGAUAGAAUAUGUAGUGUAGCGGUGAAAUGCAUAGAUAUUACAUAGAAUACCGAUUGCGAAGGCAGUCUACUAACUAUCGACUGACGCUGAUGGACGAAAGCGUGGGGAGCGAACAGGAUUAGAUACCCUGGUAGUCC